This 403-nucleotide ribosomal RNA is filed under the name uncultured Mucor. Its description in RNAcentral is "partial small subunit ribosomal RNA". It matches the Rfam family "Eukaryotic small subunit ribosomal RNA", at positions 30 to 432 of the family's 1831-position model. Lineage: Eukaryota; Fungi; Mucoromycota; Mucoromycetes; Mucorales; Mucoraceae. The record is from RNAcentral.
GCUUGUCUCAAAGAUUAAGCCAUGCAUGUCUAAGUAUAAACUGCUUAUACUGUGAAACUGCGAAUGGCUCAUUAAAUCAGUCAUAAUUUAUUUGAUGGUACCUACUACUCGGAUAACCGUAGUAAUUCUAGAGCUAAUACGUGCGCACAACCCAGACUUACGAAUGGGUGCACUUAUUAGAUAAAGCCAACGCUGGGUAAAACCAGUUUCCCUUGGUGAUUCAUAAUAAUUAAGCGGAUCGCAUGGCCUUGUGCUAGCGACAGUCCACUCGAUUUUCUGCCCUAUCAUGGUUGAGAUUGUAAGAUAGAGGCUUACAAUGCCUACAACGGGUAACGGGGAAUUAGGGUUCGAUUCCGGAGAGGGAGCCUGAGAAACGGCUACCACAUCCAAGGAAGGCAGCAGG